AUGUACUCGUGUUCCCCAUUGCAGGUGGCCACAGAUCGUAUCACACCUGCCGGGCUGGACGGACAACGAGAUCAAGAGCUUCUGGAGCAGCUGCAUCAGAAGAAGCUCCGCCAGCAAGGCAUCGACCCGACCACGCACAAGCCUAUGGCUGCCGCCGACACGGCCACGGCGGCAUUGCCGGACGUGGGAGAGGAUGACCGUAAGCCCCCUGCCGCGGAGGUUGACGGCAGCCUCGGUCCGAAGCAGCCGGCGGUUUCGCCCUCUUCCCCGUGUGCGCUGACUACGGCAGCAGGUUCGUCGAGGACCUCGGCGCGGCGAACGCUGCGCCAUUGUAUGGCCAGUUCGGCGGCGGCAUGGAGGGCGUGGACGACGACGCCGGGUUCGGCGCCGGCGACUACAGUGACGUGCUGGACGUGUCGGAGAACCUGGGCUGCGGGGAGACCUCGAGCAACAGCAGCAACUGGAACCACGUCGGCGAGGUGGGCAGCGUGCUGGACGGCGAGGUGCUGCACUGGGCCAAGGCGGGGCAGGCCUUCGCGAACAUGGAGCGGCAGCACGACGCGCCGCUGCUCGCUGGAGCACAAGUUCUUGCCGUGCCAAGAACAGAGCCUCCUCGCAAGUUUCGAUUUCAACUUGGAACUAUACUCCCGAUAUUUUCUUUCUUCUUCCAUUUUUUACCCUGUUAAAUUAUCUCGAUUCCCGCCAAACAUGCAACACCUAGCUAGGUGGUUCAGGAACAUGGUUGUAAUUUUUAUUAUCUGUGUUACUCUUUAUACUGUUACGAUUGAAAAUAAAUAG
This 798-nucleotide ribosomal RNA is filed under the name Triticum aestivum (bread wheat). Its description in RNAcentral is "partial small subunit ribosomal RNA". The record is from RNAcentral. Lineage: Eukaryota; Viridiplantae; Streptophyta; Magnoliopsida; Poales; Poaceae.